AGAGUUUGAUCCUGGCUCAGGAUGAACGCUAGCUACAGGCUUAACACAUGCAAGUCGAGGGGCAGCAUGACCUAGCAAUAGGUUGAUGGCGACCGGCGCACGGGUGAGUAACACGUAUCCAACCUGCCGAUUAUUCCGGGAUAGCCUUUCGAAAGAAAGAUUAAUACUGGAUAGCAUAACGAGAAGGCAUCUUCUUGUUAUUAAAGAAUUUCGAUAAUCGAUGGGGAUGCGUUCCAUUAGUUUGUUGGCGGGGUAACGGCCCACCAAGACAUCGAUGGAUAGGGGUUCUGAGAGGAAGGUCCCCCACAUUGGAACUGAGACACGGUCCAAACUCCUACGGGAGGCAGCAGUGAGGAAUAUUGGUCAAUGGACGAGAGUCUGAACCAGCCAAGUAGCGUGAAGGAUGACUGCCCUAUGGGUUGUAAACUUCUUUUAUAUGGGAAUAAAGUGAGCCACGUGUGGCUUUUUGUAUGUACCAUACGAAUAAGGAUCGGCUAACUCCGUGCCAGCAGCCGCGGUAAUACGGAGGAUCCGAGCGUUAUCCGGAUUUAUUGGGUUUAAAGGGAGCGUAGGCGGAUUAUUAAGUCAGUUGUGAAAGUUUGCGGCUCAACCGUAAAAUUGCAGUUGAUACUGGUAGUCUUGAGUGCAGCAGAGGUAGGCGGAAUUCGUGGUGUAGCGGUGAAAUGCUUAGAUAUCACGAAGAACUCCGAUUGCGAAGGCAGCUUACUGGACUGUAACUGACGCUGAUGCUCGAAAGUGUGGGUAUCAAACAGGAUUAGAUACCCUGGUAGUCCACACAGUAAACGAUGAAUACUCGCUGUUUGCGAUAUACAGCAAGCGGCCAAGCGAAAGCAUUAAGUAUUCCACCUGGGGAGUACGCCGGCAACGGUGAAACUCAAAGGAAUUGACGGGGGUCCGCACAAGCGGAGGAACAUGUGGUUUAAUUCGAUGAUACGCGAGGAACCUUACCCGGGCUUAAAUUGCAACUGACGGAUUUGGAAACAGAUCUUCCUUCGGGCAGUUGUGAAGGUGCUGCAUGGUUGUCGUCAGCUCGUGCCGUGAGGUGUCGGCUUAAGUGCCAUAACGAGCGCAACCCUUAUCUUUAGUUACUAACAGGUCAUGCUGAGGACUCUAGAGAGACUGCCGUCGUAAGAUGUGAGGAAGGUGGGGAUGACGUCAAAUCAGCACGGCCCUUACGUCCGGGGCUACACACGUGUUACAAUGGGGGGUACAGAAGGCAGCUACACAGCGAUGUGAUGCUAAUCCCAAAAGCCUCUCUCAGUUCGGA
This 1288-nucleotide ribosomal RNA is filed under the name metagenome. Its description in RNAcentral is "bacterial SSU rRNA". It matches the Rfam family "Bacterial small subunit ribosomal RNA", at positions 8 to 1297 of the family's 1533-position model. The record is from RNAcentral.